Molecule: ribosomal RNA, 266 nt
Filed under: uncultured prokaryote
Description: partial 16S ribosomal RNA
Rfam family: Bacterial small subunit ribosomal RNA
Source: RNAcentral
UACGUAGGUGGCAAGCGUUAUCCGGAUUUACUGGGUGUAAAGGGAGCGCAGACGGAACUGCAAGUCUGAUGUGAAAGCCCGGGGCUCAACCGCGGGACUGCAUCGGAUACUGUGGAUCUGGAGUGCCGGAGGGGCAAGCGGAAUUCCUGGUGUAGCGGUGAAAUGCGUAGAUAUCAGGAGGAACACCGGUGGCGAAGUCGGCUUACUGGACCGGCAAUGACGCUGAGGCUCGAAAGCGUGGGGAGCAAACAGGAUUAGAUACCCCU